RNAcentral lists this ribosomal RNA (778 nucleotides) under uncultured Neocallimastigales. Its description in RNAcentral is "partial large subunit ribosomal RNA". It matches the Rfam family "Eukaryotic large subunit ribosomal RNA", at positions 22 to 640 of the family's 3401-position model. The record is from RNAcentral. Lineage: Eukaryota; Fungi; Neocallimastigomycota; Neocallimastigomycetes; Neocallimastigales.
CAUAGCGACUAUCGUGGCAUAUCAAUAAGCGGAGGAAAAGAAACUAACAAGGAUUCCCCUAGUAACGGCGAGUGAAGCGGGAAGAGCUCAAAUUUGAAAUCUUAAAGGGUUUCCCUUUACGAAUUGUAGUUUAAAGAAGUGUUUUCUGUUGGAGUUUCGGUAAAAGUUCUUUGGAAUAGGACAUCAUAGAGGGUGAGAAUCCCGUAUUUGACCGUUACUUUCCAGCUGUGUGAUACACUUUCAAAGAGUCGGAUUGUUUGGGAAUGCAGUCCAAAAUGGGUGGUAAAUUUCAUCUAAAGCUAAAUAUUGGCGAGAGACCGAUAGCGAACAAGUACCGUGAGGGAAAGAUGAAAAGAACUUUGAAAAGAGAGUUAAACAGUACGUGAAAUUGUAAAAAGGGAAGCGUUUGACACCAGUGUUGUUUAGUUGAAAAUCAAUUAAAUAUUUUUCGAUUUUAAGUAGUAUUGACCUUCAUCAGCUUGCUGCUUUCUUUUCUGGAAAUUAUUUAAUGCACUUUUCAGUUAACAAGUCAACAUCCAAUUUCUUUUGUUGUAAAAGGGUAAGAGGAAGGUGGCUUGCGCUUCGGCUCAAGUGUUUAUAGCCUUUUACCUCUGCAAUCGGAGAGAUUGAGGUCUGCAGCGUAGAUCCUUCGGGGUUAGAUACAUUUGUGCUAAGCUAUAGCCUUGUAUAGACAACUUGUUGACUAUGCUCAGUCAUGUAGCUUACUCGCUUAUGCUAUUUUACCUACGCUUAGGAUGUUGAUAUGCAUGACUGAUAU